Molecule: long non-coding RNA, 233 nt
Filed under: Malus domestica (apple)
Lineage: Eukaryota; Viridiplantae; Streptophyta; Magnoliopsida; Rosales; Rosaceae
Description: long non-coding RNA (MDOM_LNC019832)
Source: RNAcentral
AAGAUAUAUUGCCAUAUAGAAGUUUACAACAAUGUUGUUUGGAUGGGAAAGUUCAUUUAUGAACUCUCUAUACGGUUCCAACCAGAAAGUGUAUGACACUAAUGGGGCGAUAGCUCAAGCCUGGGAAUCAAGGUCUCAUCAAGAUCCGAACUCAAAUGAGAGACUGAACCACAUGAUUGAGAAUCAUGUAUAAUGGGUGACGUCGUUAUUCUCAAGGUUGCUUCUAUGGAUAA